This 445-nucleotide ribosomal RNA is filed under the name uncultured bacterium. RNAcentral describes it as "partial 16S ribosomal RNA". It matches the Rfam family "Bacterial small subunit ribosomal RNA", at positions 354 to 796 of the family's 1533-position model. The record is from RNAcentral.
GUGAGGAAUAUUGCGCAAUGGAGGCAACUCUGACGCAGCCAUGCCGCGUGCAGGAAGAAGGCGCUACGCGUUGUAAACUGCUUUUAACCGGGAAGAAACCCCAGGACGUGUCCUGGGUUGACGGUACCGGAGGAAUAAGCACCGGCUAACUUCGUGCCAGCAGCCGCGGUAAUACGAAGGGGGCAAGCGUUAUCCGGAUUCAUAGGGUUUAAAGGGUGCGUAGGCGGAGCGUUAAGUCAGUGGUGAAAUCCUGCAGCUUAACGCUAGACUUGCCAUUGAUACUGGCGCUCUUGAGUGCGCUUGAAGUGGGCGGAAUGUGCCGUGUAGCGGUGAAAUGCUUAGAUAUGGCACAGAACACCAAUUGCGAAGGCAGCUCACUAAGGCGAUACUGACGCUGAGGCACGAAAGCGUGGGGAUCGAACAGGAUUAGAAACCCUUGUAGUCC